AGGAGACUGACUAGGACAAAACCAGAAGGAGCCGUCCAACAUUGGAAAGAAGUAAUUGAAGAAAGUUAACCCAGGAUCAGAGGACAGAGAGGAGAUAAUGCCUGAAGCUUAAUUCAACCUGCAUUUUAACAAGCUGGAUACACCCCACUGAGGCCAUUACAGAAGCCAGCCAGUCCUGCCUUGCCUCCCCUGCUGAGCCUCUCAUCUCUCCACCUGCAGGGGCCGUCCUGCCCCAAUUCCUGGGGCAGCCAGGUGGCGGGGCCAGAGUCACCCUCCCUGAGGACUGACCUAGAACAUGGAGCUCCGGCGCUGCUGGCCUGACUUCUUGUCUUUCCGCAGGAGGCACGGAACGUUCUGGAGCCCGGAGCCAGCGUGGGCUUUGUGUUUCCAGUGUCCACAGGUGCUUGGCUGCACAGUAGUUCCCCCGGGGGGAACCCUGGGACCAGGUCGGCUCCCUGAACGCCUCUUCCUGGGACCUGCCUGUCUUCUCCUGCUCUUGCCCAAACUGAAUCCUUUCCACCCCAGGGAGCAGCCCCACGGGGAGCUCCCCGGCACCCACUGCUGCACCCCCCUUGUCCUUCUCGUUCGCUCAACCGAGAUCUUCACACGUUGACAUUUAUGUGAUGGCGACGGCCAGAAAUUAUAGACUGUGUCUAUAGACUACCUAUAGACAAUGCAAAUCUCGU
RNAcentral lists this long non-coding RNA (686 nucleotides) under Vulpes vulpes (red fox). RNAcentral's name for it is "lncRNA (ENSVVUG00000025828.1)". Lineage: Eukaryota; Metazoa; Chordata; Mammalia; Carnivora; Canidae. The record is from RNAcentral.